CAAUUUCUUGGAUGUUUACUUACGCGCCGCUUUUCAUUAUUUUGAGUGUAAAUUUCUCUUCUAAAUUAUGUUAGGAUUAGUCUAGACAUUAAAAAAAAAAACUACAAAAACAUUUGCAUGGACACUUAGUGGUUUCAUAAAGAUUAUAAUUGGUAAUCAAGAUUGUAUGGCCAUUUAGAUAAACAACCUUCCAAGUUAGUGGUACCGCAAGGGCGCUAAUAGAAACAUUGGCGUAAACAAGUCCCCGUUCCUAGAAAUCUCUGGUUGCGUAUGAAUCGAGACAACAC
RNAcentral lists this long non-coding RNA (287 nucleotides) under Eucalyptus grandis. RNAcentral's name for it is "long non-coding RNA (EGRA_LNC001181)". Lineage: Eukaryota; Viridiplantae; Streptophyta; Magnoliopsida; Myrtales; Myrtaceae. The record is from RNAcentral.